UAUCACAACCAUAUCACCCUGAAGCCUAAGACCGGUUACUCACUGAAGCUACGCAGUGCUGAGCCUGGUCAGUACCUGGAUGGGAAACCACAUGGGUAAACUAGGUAGCUGUUGAAA
Molecule: ribosomal RNA, 117 nt
Organism: Danio rerio (zebrafish)
Lineage: Eukaryota; Metazoa; Chordata; Actinopteri; Cypriniformes; Danionidae
Source: Ensembl